Molecule: non-coding RNA, 73 nt
Organism: Paramuricea clavata
Lineage: Eukaryota; Metazoa; Cnidaria; Anthozoa; Malacalcyonacea; Plexauridae
Source: the annotation of a GenBank genome assembly
GACCGCGUAGCUCAGUUGGCAGAGCAUUGGGCUAGUAUUCCAAAGGUCGUAGGUUCGAAUCCCACCGUGGCCG